AACACCACGGAAUCACACCUGGGGAGAACAGACUGCUAUAGCUCAUGAACAAAUCCCUCAAAUAUUUGUGUUAAUGAGAACUGAGAGGGUGGGUAAACUAAAACUGACAUGUGCCUGAGGAGAAGAGGAAUGAAUAAUCUGCAUAAAUACAUUAACUGACUGGCCCCUGAAGUUUUCAAUCAGGAUAAGAGCAAGCCAUUUCCCCAUCAUGGUAUUUCAGAAGAAAUAAGUGUGAAGGAGCUGUCAUUUGUUACCAAACUUUUCAGGAGUCAACUCUAUCAAAAUGAUGCAAAUAACUCUUUGCUCUGACUGCAUGAGCCACUUCUUAUUUUCUACACAUGCACAAGAAACACAUGCGCCUCAUGAAUUAUCGCCCUGAUGCUGGAAACACUUAAGUGUAUGAAUAAUUUUAUGCACAUGUGCAGUUCCAUUUAAUCACAUGUGAGACUGCAAGAUCAGGGUCUGCAGCCAUAGUGCUUACUUGUAGUCACGGAAAAUGACUACCAGUGAUAAUUUCAGAAUCGGGGUUUUAAGAUCUUAUGUGCAGUAUUUGAUCAGCCUCUGCACAUGUUCAAUUUUGGUCAGAACUUAAAAAAAUACAUAAACCUUUACUUCAUCACAAAACCAGUUUUCAUAUAUAAAAAUCAAAUAUCCAUGGAACAGACUAACAUGACCAAAAAAAAAAAAAAGACUUCACCCCUUUGUAUUACUAUAUUUGAGUUAAAAUCACUACAUUCUGAUUUUAUUCAGAUCACUCUUAACUAUAACACUGGAAGCCUAUGUCCAUCACUACUCUAGCACUCUUUAUUACAGCAAUUUAACAGAUUAUAAUCAAAGCCUCACUAGAAGGCCUCUGUCACAGAGAAAUCUGGUCUAAACAGCCAUGGUUAGGGGCAGCUCCAGGCACCAGCAUGCCAAGUGCGUGCCUGGGGCGGCAAACCAUGGGGGGCACUCUGCUGGUUGCCGCGAGGAUGGCAGACAGGUUGCCUUCGGCAGCAUGCCUGCGGAGGGUCCGCUAGUCUCGCGACUUUGGCAGACCUUCCACAGGUGUGCCGCCGAAUCUGCGGAACUGGGGACCUCCCGCAGGCAAGCUGCUGAAGGCAGCCUGCCUACUGUGCUUGGGGCGGCAAAAUACCUAGAGCCGCCCCUGUCCAUGGUUGUAUUGAAUGUCUAGAUCUUCCUCUGUUUUGAAAAUGGAAUGAAAAAGCACGCCUUAAGGAACUCAGCCUCUCAAAAUUCACACAGCCUUUCAAGUUGUACAAAUCCCAUAAGGCCAUGGAUACUGGUUGACUGGAAGACUGGCCUAUCUAGGGGGAAGUGGAGACAGAGUAUAAAGACAAGCCCCAUUCCUUCACCCAUCUUCCAAUUCUCCUUUGCCACCACCCAAAGAGAAAAAUCCAGCUGCACGCCAGAGGGUUGUAGUGGUAUUCUAGGGGUGGACAGAAGACAGAGAUAUGAGAAAGGGGUAGUUUUCUGUGGCUGCAUAGUUAUUUUUAGUAUCGAGCAGAAACCAGAUUUCCAUGCCAUGGGAAAUUCCACAAUUUCAAAACACUGUCCCCUUUCUGAAAUAGUAGAAAAACGAGCCAUUUUGAAAUUUCCCAUAAAACAAAAUUUAAAAAAAAAAUUAGUUUUGGUAGCAACAUUUUGUUUUGAUCAAACCAAAACAUUUUUGUCUGAUCUCAGCCUUUUAAAAAUUCAUUUUAAUGUAAAAAUCAAUUAAUUUAGUUUCAAAAAGUGGUUUAGAAACAAAAAACCAGAAACAUUCCAUUCAAAAAAUGUCAAAAAACAGGAUGUUUCAAUGUUGCUGAAACACUUCAUUUCAGGUUUUUUCCCCCUAAACAAAAUGUUAUCAAAACCAGACAUGUUUUUCUACACAUUUUGAUGAACACAGCAUUUUUAAUCAAAAAACCUUUUUGGUGCAAAAGUUUCUACUAGCUCUAGUUAUUUUGCAGCUCUUACCAACAGGAAAAAUACUCUUUAGAAAAACAGGCAGCGUCCACAGCUGCCAAGUCCCUGAAGCUGGCCAAGCUUCUGAGAGCCAGUACUGCAGAGGCUAUUGCUGGCCUGCAGAGGAUCUUAAGUGUGGCAAGAAAGAAUUUCUUCAAUUCAUGGGAGAAAAGGUCCUGUAUUACCUGGAAUACUCUAUGGCUUGGUCUACACUAGAAAAAUUAAUCACUGCUGACAUUCAUUGUCAGGAAUGAGUAAUUUGUCUAGUGUAGACCAGGUGUAUGAUGCUGAAAUGUGACUUCACAAGAACAAUAAUCAUCCAGAAUCGCUUCUGCAUCACAAUGGUGAAGAGAUCUGCAGGCAAUUAAAAUGGCUACUUCAGGACAUUUCAAUUUAAGUUUUAUAUCAUCUACUUCUUGUCCCUGACAAUAUCAUCAAAACAGAACAAAAAGCUAAACAUUUUCCCUCGUUUUCCAAUUAAAACUUCUUUCAUUCAACAAA
Molecule: long non-coding RNA, 2448 nt
Organism: Gopherus flavomarginatus (Mexican gopher tortoise)
Lineage: Eukaryota; Metazoa; Chordata; Testudines; Testudinidae
Exons: 3
Source: RefSeq, a predicted model, not a curated record